RNAcentral lists this long non-coding RNA (1384 nucleotides) under Coffea arabica (coffee). RNAcentral describes it as "long non-coding RNA (CARA_LNC006003)". The record is from RNAcentral. Lineage: Eukaryota; Viridiplantae; Streptophyta; Magnoliopsida; Gentianales; Rubiaceae.
AAACUGUUCGAUCUUUUGGUUGUAUUCGUCAAGAUGAGGCUUUGAAGCUUAUGUCAUCGAUCAAAACUCUGGCUGGUGCCGGAAAAAUUGUUAAUCUAAAGGAGAAACUGGCCUCAUACACGAGCUCCAUGGUUUGCAGAGCAGCAUUUGGGAAAGUCAGCAAGGACGACCACAAAGCGUUCUUACAGUUAGUUAUGGAGGCACUGCCCCUUUCAAGUGCUUUUGAAAUAUCUGAUUUGUUUCCUUCCCUCAAGAUUCUUCAUCCCUUGUUUUCAGCCAAAACAAAGUUGAUGAAGGUCCACCAUAAGAUGGAUGUCAUUUUGGACAAAAUUAUUGAUCAACAUAUUGACAACCUAGCAAGAACAAGGAUGGCGAUGGGCGAAUCCGGCCACGAAGAUCUAACUGAUGUUCUACUAAGAGUUAAAGAAAGUGGCGACCUUCAAUUUCCAAUUACCAAAAACAAUGUCAAAGCAGUCCUAUUUGUAAGCAAUAGUUUAGCAAAUUUUUGGCUUUGUGAUCUAAAGUUUAAUUAAUAUGUUUGCUUUCUGACAAAGAGGAUUCAACACUUGAUGCAGGACAUGUUUUUAGGGGGGACCGAAACUUCAUCCACUACAUUGGAGUGGGCGAUGUCCGAGCUGAUUAAAAAUCCAAAUGUGAUGACCAAGGUUCAGAAUGAAGUAAGGAAAGCUUUUACGGGAAAGAAGACCAUUGAAGAAAAUGAGAUACAGCAGUUGCAAUACUUAAAGCUAGUGAUCAAAGAAACUUUGAGGUUACAUCCUCCUGCCCCUUUAUCAGUUCCCAAACAAUGCAGGGAGCAAUGUGAAAUAGAUGGAUAUAGCAUCCCCGUGAAAACAAGGCUGUUUGUUAAUACUUGGGCAAUCGCAAGAGAUCCUGAAUAUUGGGAUGAUCCAGAGAGUUUCAAGCCAGAGAGAUUCGAAAACAGUUCAAUUGAUUUCACAGGAAAUCACUUUGAACUUUUACCAUUUGGUUCAGGAAGAAGGAUUUGCCCAGGAAUAUCAUUUGGUAUAGCCAAUGUUGAGCUUCCUUUAACUCUUUUGCUCUAUCAUUUUGACUGGAGGCUCCCAAAUGGCCUGAGCCCUGACGACUUAGACAUGAUAGAGAGCGUUGGAAUUGCUACAACUAGGAAAAAUGACCUUUGCUUGCUGGCCACUCUAUAUGAUCCUUAACUUGAUAGGGCACUGUAACCUCCAAAGACGGACAUAUUGGCAUAUCUUUUGAUGGUCAAUAGCAUUUUUAGUCAUCUUACCAGAUUUCCAUUUUCACAUUUUGAGUCAUUCAGAAUAAAUUUUGGUUUAAUUAGUUCAAGUUUUGAAUUUGUAAGUUUGUAGUUUGGCUGAUGUUGGUGGUAAUGCCUUAUAGCUCU